AGUCUUCCGGGAAAUCUGACAGCUCAACUGUUAGGCUUCCGGGGGAUACUGUCAGACUUGGGACCGGGAGAGGUAAGAGGUACUACAGGGGUAGGAGUGAAAUCUUGUAAUCCCUGUGGGACCACCAGUGGCGAAGGCGUCUUACCAGAACGGGUCCGACGGUGAGGGACGAAAGCUGGGGGCACGAACCGGAUUAGAUACCCGGGUAGUCCCAGCCGUAAACGAUGCUCGCUAGGUGUCUGGAAUGGUGCGACCGUUUCAGGUGCCGCAGGGAAGCCGUGAAGCGAGCCACCUGGGAAGUACGGCCGCAAGGCUGAAACUUAAAGGAAUUGGCGGGGGAGCACUACAACGGGUGGAGCCUGCGGUUUAAUUGGACUCAACGCCGGACAACUCACCGGGGGCGACAGCAAUAUGUAGGUCAAGCUAAAGACUUUACCUGAAUCGCUGAGAGGAGGUGCAUGGCCGUCGUCAGUUCGUACUGUGAAGCAUCCUGUUAAGUCAGGCAACGAGCGAGACCCGUGCCCACUGUUGCCAGCAUAUCCUUCGGGAUGAUGGGUACUCUGUGGGGACCGCCGAUGCUAAAUCGGAGGAAGGUGCGGGCUACGGUAGGUCAGUAUGCCCCGAAUCUCCCGGGCUACACGCGGGCUACAAUGGUUGGGACAAUGGGCUCCUACACUGAGAAGUGACGGUAAUCUCAUAAACCCAGCCGUAGUUCGAAUUGAGGGCUGAAACCCGCCCUCAUGA
This 744-nucleotide ribosomal RNA is filed under the name uncultured Methanosarcinaceae archaeon. RNAcentral's name for it is "bacterial SSU rRNA". It matches the Rfam family "Archaeal small subunit ribosomal RNA", at positions 536 to 1279 of the family's 1478-position model. Lineage: Archaea; Methanobacteriati; Methanobacteriota; Methanomicrobia; Methanosarcinales; Methanosarcinaceae. The record is from RNAcentral.